UACGUAGGGUGCAAGCGUUGUCCGGAAUUAUUGGGCGUAAAGAGCUCGUAGGCGGCUUGUCGCGUCUGCUGUGAAAACCCGAGGCUCAACCUCGGGCCUGCAGUGGGUACGGGCAGGCUAGAGCGCGGUAGGGGAGAUUGGAAUUCCUGGUGUAGCGGUGGAAUGCGCAGAUAUCAGGAGGAACACCGAUGGUGAAGGCAGAUCUCUGGGCCGCUACUGACGCUGAGGAGCGAAAGCAUGGGGAGCGAAC
RNAcentral lists this ribosomal RNA (250 nucleotides) under uncultured prokaryote. RNAcentral's name for it is "partial 16S ribosomal RNA". It matches the Rfam family "Bacterial small subunit ribosomal RNA", at positions 524 to 773 of the family's 1533-position model. The record is from RNAcentral.